UUCCACAGCGCCUUUCCGCUCCCUGCCCCUCUGCCUGGAACCCUGCUCUCCUGGCUUUUUUCCUGUUUGCCUUCUUCCCCUUCUGGCUCGGAUUGAAAGUCACCUUCUCAGAAAAGCCUUUCUAAAAGUAUUAAUGAAAUACCCACAGUAAUGAAAGAGAAGAAUGCAUUAUACAAGAUGCUAUCGGAGGCAAGAACAUUCAUCACUGAGUAAUACUGUGGAUAUUCAUUUCCCUACCUUUUUUAAAAAGUGAAAUUACUGAUGUAAUUAAAAUGCAAUAUAUAAAAGAUUCAAGAA
Felis catus (domestic cat) is the source of this 297-nucleotide long non-coding RNA. RefSeq lists it as uncharacterized. NCBI's taxonomy places the organism in Eukaryota, Metazoa, Chordata, Mammalia, Carnivora, Felidae. The record is from RefSeq and is a predicted model, not a curated record. The transcript is spliced from 2 exons.